UACGUAGGGGGCAAGCGUUGUCCGGAUUCAUUGGGCGUAAAGAGCUCGUAGGCGGUUCAGCAAGUCGGGUGUGAAACCUCCAGGCUCAACCUGGAGACGCCACCCGAUACUGCUGUGACUUGAGUCCGGUAGGGGACCACGGAAUUCCUGGUGUAGCGGUGAAAUGCGCAGAUAUCAGGAGGGACACCGGUGGCGAAGGCGGUGGUCUGGGCCGGAACUGACGCUGAGGAGCGAAAGCGUGGGGAGCGAACAGG
Molecule: ribosomal RNA, 254 nt
Filed under: uncultured bacterium
Lineage: Bacteria
Description: partial 16S ribosomal RNA
Rfam family: Bacterial small subunit ribosomal RNA
Source: RNAcentral